Molecule: ribosomal RNA, 324 nt
Filed under: uncultured eukaryote
Lineage: Eukaryota
Description: partial 18S ribosomal RNA
Rfam family: Eukaryotic small subunit ribosomal RNA
Source: RNAcentral
CCCUUAGAUGUUCUGGGCCGCACGCGCGCUACACUGAUGCAUUCAACGAGUUUCUUCCUGGUCCGAGAGGAAUGGAUAACCUUUUGAAAGUGCAUCGUGAUAGGGAUAGACUAUUGCAAUUAUUGGUCUUCAACGAGGAAUUCCUAGUAGACGUAGUUCAUCAGGCUGCAUCGAUUACGUCCCUGCCCUUUGUACACACCGCCCGUCGCUCCUACCGAUUGAAUGCUCAGGUGAGCCAUUCGGACCUUCAUCAUGCCGGUUUCCGGUUUUGAUGAGGGAAAGUCUUGCGAACCUUAUCAUUUAGAGGAAGGAGAAGUCGUAACA